GUAUGGACGAGAGUCUGAACCAGCCAGUAGCGUGAAGGAUGACUGCCCUAUGGGUUGUAAACUUCUUUUAUACGGGAAUAAAGUGAGGCACGUGUGCCUUUUUGUAUGUACCGUAUGAAUAAGGAUCGGCUAACUCCGUGCCAGCAGCCGCGGUAAUACGGAGGAUCCNAGCGUUAUCCGGAUUUAUUGGGUUUAAAGGGAGCGUAGAUGGAUGUUUAAGUCAGUUGUGAAAGUUUGCGGCUCAACCGUAAAAUUGCAGUUGAUACUGGAUAUCUUGAGUGCAGUUGAGGCAGGCGGAAUUCGUGGUGUAGCGGUGAAAUGCUUAGAUAUCACGAAGAACUCCGAUUGCGAAGGCAGCUCACUAGACUGUUACUGACACUGAUGCUCGAAAGUGUGGGUAUCAAACAGGAUUAGAUACCCUGGUAGUCCAAGGGCGAAUUC
This 441-nucleotide ribosomal RNA is filed under the name uncultured bacterium. RNAcentral describes it as "SSU rRNA". It matches the Rfam family "Bacterial small subunit ribosomal RNA", at positions 369 to 808 of the family's 1533-position model. The record is from RNAcentral.